This 403-nucleotide ribosomal RNA is filed under the name Fusobacteriota bacterium. Its description in RNAcentral is "Fusobacteria bacterium partial 16S ribosomal RNA". It matches the Rfam family "Bacterial small subunit ribosomal RNA", at positions 355 to 776 of the family's 1533-position model. The record is from RNAcentral. Lineage: Bacteria; Fusobacteriati; Fusobacteriota.
CUAGGAAUCUUGGGAAUGGGCGAAAGCCUGACCCAGCAACGCCGCGUGGGCGAUGAAGGCCUUCGGGUCGUAAAGCCCUUUUGUGGGGGAAGAUGAUGACGGUACCCCACGAAUAAGCCACGGCUAACUACGUGCCAGCAGCCGCGGUAAUACGUAGGUGGCGAGCGUUGUCCGGAUUUACUGGGCGUAAAGGGCGUGCAGGCGGUUUGCUAAGUCUAGGGUGAAAGCUCCCGGCUUAACUGGGAGAGGUCCUUGGAUACUGGCAGACUUGAGGAGGGUAGAGGAGAGUGGAAUUCCCGGUGUAGUGGUGAUAUGCGUAGAUAUCGGGAGGAACACCAGUGGCGAAGGCGGCUCUCUGGGCCCUACCUGACGCUGAGACGCGAAAGCGUGGGGAGCGAACCGG